ACCGGACCCGCGGCGCGGGUGGCUUCUCCGGGCGCCUAUCCCCCGGCAACCA
RNAcentral lists this non-coding RNA (52 nucleotides) under Agrobacterium albertimagni AOL15. Its description in RNAcentral is "sul1 RNA". It matches the Rfam family "sul1 RNA". The record is from Rfam by way of RNAcentral. Lineage: Bacteria; Pseudomonadati; Pseudomonadota; Alphaproteobacteria; Hyphomicrobiales; Rhizobiaceae.